Molecule: long non-coding RNA, 286 nt
Organism: Hyaena hyaena (striped hyena)
Lineage: Eukaryota; Metazoa; Chordata; Mammalia; Carnivora; Hyaenidae
Exons: 2
Source: RefSeq, a predicted model, not a curated record
AUCUUACACGGACUUUUUCAUUGACCUACUUUUUAAGGGAUGUGGAAGAGUGGAAACUGGAAGUUGUUGAUUCUGCCUUGUGGAUGAAAUACUGAAAAUCCCCAACAUCACAGCCAGAGAGAUGCCGUGAAAAUGACGGCCAUGUCAUGCUACUCCUCUGCUCACUAUUUAAGGGAUCCUCAGCUCACUCCGUGCAUGCUCAGCACUUGCAGGAAGACCACCCUGCAGAAAAACCCGAAGCUCUGCAGGGUCCAGUCUACGUAAUACAAUCUUUGUAUCUGUAUUG